Molecule: ribosomal RNA, 170 nt
Filed under: uncultured Alphaproteobacteria bacterium
Lineage: Bacteria; Pseudomonadati; Pseudomonadota; Alphaproteobacteria
Description: partial 16S ribosomal RNA
Rfam family: Bacterial small subunit ribosomal RNA
Source: RNAcentral
CCUACGGGAGGCAGCAGUGGGGAAUAUUGGACAAUGGGGGCAACCCUGAUCCAGCAAUGCCGCGUGUGUGAUGAAGGCCUUAGGGUUGUAAAGCACUUUCAAUGGUGAAGAUGAUGACGGUAACCAUAGAAGAAGCCCCGGCUAACUUCGUGCCAGCAGCCGCGGUAAUA